RNAcentral lists this ribosomal RNA (466 nucleotides) under uncultured bacterium. RNAcentral's name for it is "bacterial SSU rRNA". It matches the Rfam family "Bacterial small subunit ribosomal RNA", at positions 330 to 793 of the family's 1533-position model. The record is from RNAcentral.
GCCAGACUCCUACGGGAGGCAGCAGUGAGGAAUAUUGGUCAAUGGCCGAGAGGCUGAACCAGCCAAGUCGCGUGAGGGAUGACGGCCCUACGGGUUGUAAACCUCUUUUGCCGGGGAGCAAAGAGCGGGACGCGUCCCGCCUCGAGAGUACCCGGAGAAAAAGCAUCGGCUAACUCCGUGCCGGCAGCCGCGGUAAUACGGAGGAUGCGAGCGUUAUCCGGAUUUAUUGGGUGUAAAGGGUGCGUAGAUGGAUAAACAAGUUGGUUGUGAAAUCCCUCGGCUUAACUGAGGAAUUGCAACCAAAACUGUAGAUCUUGAGUACUGGAGGGGAAAGCGGAAUUCCUAGUGUAGCGGUGAAAUGCGUAGAUAUUAGGAAGAACACCGGUGGCGAAGGCGGCUUUCUGGACAGAAACUGACAUUGAGGCACGAAAGUGUGGGGAGCAAACAGGAUUAGAUACCCGGGUAA